UUGGAGGGCAAGUCUGGUGCCAGCAGCCGCGGUAAUUCCAGCUCCAAUAGCGUAUAUUAAAGUUGUUGCAGUUAAAAAGCUCGUAGUUGAAUUUCGGGAUCAAUACGUCGGUCGUGCCUUCGGUACGCACUGGCGUUGUUGAUUCCUCCCUUCUGACGAACCAUGAUGUCAUUAAUUUGAUGUCGUGGGGAAUCAGGACUGUUACUUUGAAAAAAUUAGAGUGUUUAAAGCAGGUUCACGCUUGAAUACAUUAGCAUGGAAUAAUGAAAUAGGACGUUCGAUUCUAUUUUGUUGGUUUCUAGGAUCAACGUAAUGAUUAAUAGGGAUAGUUGGGGGCAUUAGUAUUCAAUUGUCAGAGGUGAAAUUCUUGGAUUUAUUGAAGACUAACUACUGCGAAAGCAUUUGCCAAGGAUGUUUUCAUUAAUCAAGAACGAAAGUUAGGGGAUCGAAGACGAUCAGAUACCGUCGUAGUCUUAACCAUAAACUAUGCCGACUAGGGAUCGGAUGAUGUUAAUUCUUUAAUGACUCAUUCGGCGCCUUACGGGAAAC
Molecule: ribosomal RNA, 549 nt
Filed under: uncultured Glomus
Lineage: Eukaryota; Fungi; Glomeromycota; Glomeromycetes; Glomerales; Glomeraceae
Description: SSU rRNA
Rfam family: Eukaryotic small subunit ribosomal RNA
Source: RNAcentral